GAUGAACGCUGGCGGCGUGCCUAAUACAUGCAAGUCGAGCGAACAGACGAGGCUCUUGCUCGUCUGCCGUGACCGGCGGACGGGUGAGGAACAGGUGGAUAACCUACCUAGAAGACUGAGAUAACUUCGGGAAACCUGAUCUAAUAUAGGUUAACAUGGUGAACCGCAGGGUUCUACGGUCAAAGCGGUUUUUGCUGUCACUAAGAGGUGGAUCCUCGCCGCAUUAGCUAGUUGGUAAGGUAACGGCCUACCAAGGCGACGAUGCGUAGCCGACCUGAGAGGGUGAUCGGCCACACUGGAACUGAGACACGGUCCAGACUCCUACGGGAGGCAGCAGUAGGGAAUAUUCGACAAUGGGCGAAAGCCUGACGGAGCAACGCCGCGUGUGUGAAGAAGGUCUUCGGAUCGUAAAACUCUGUUAGUAGGGAAGAAGGAAUGUAAAAGUAAAUAUUCCCGUCUUGACGGUACCAAAAGAGAAAGCCCCGGCUAACUACGUG
Molecule: ribosomal RNA, 497 nt
Filed under: uncultured bacterium
Lineage: Bacteria
Description: partial 16S ribosomal RNA
Rfam family: Bacterial small subunit ribosomal RNA
Source: RNAcentral